GGAUCAGUACGCUAGUCAUGCCUUCGGUACGUACUGGUGUUGCUGAUUUCUACCUUCUGACGAACCGUUAUGUCAUUAAUUUGGUGUGGCAGAGGAUCAGGGACUGUUACUUUGAAAAAUUAGAGUGUUUAAAGCAGGCUCGCGCUUGAAUACAUUAGCAUGGAAUAAUGAAAUAGGACGUUAAUCCUAUUUUGUUAGUUUCUAGGAUUGACGUAAUGAUUA
Molecule: ribosomal RNA, 222 nt
Filed under: uncultured Glomeromycotina
Lineage: Eukaryota; Fungi; Glomeromycota
Description: partial 18S ribosomal RNA
Rfam family: Eukaryotic small subunit ribosomal RNA (bases 32-222)
Source: RNAcentral